Molecule: ribosomal RNA, 432 nt
Filed under: uncultured bacterium
Lineage: Bacteria
Description: partial 16S ribosomal RNA
Rfam family: Bacterial small subunit ribosomal RNA
Source: RNAcentral
AGCGAACGCUGGCGGCAGGCCUAACACAUGCAAGUCGAACGAACUCUUCGGAGUUAGUGGCGGACGGGUGAGUAACACGUGGGAACGUGCCUUUUGGUUCGGAAUAACUCAGGGAAACUUGUGCUAAUACCGAAUGUGCCCUUCGGGGGAAAGAUUUAUCGCCAUUAGAGCGGCCCGCGUCUGAUUAGCUAGUUGGUGAGGUAACGGCUCACCAAGGCGACGAUCAGUAGCUGGUCUGAGAGGAUGACCAGCCACACUGGGACUGAGACACGGCCCAGACUCCUACGGGAGGCAGCAGGGGGGAAUCUUGCGCAAUGGGCGAAAGCCUGACGCAGCCAUGCCGCGCGAAUGAUGAAGGUCUUAGGAUUGUAAAAUUCUUUCACCGGGGACGAUAAUGACGGUACCCGGAGAAGAAGCCCCGGCUAACUUCGU